AGAAUUGUGGUGCAAUGGAUAACGCGUCUGACUACGGACCAGAAAAUUCCAGGUUCGACUCCUGGCUGGCUUG
Molecule: transfer RNA, 73 nt
Filed under: Heterocephalus glaber (naked mole-rat)
Lineage: Eukaryota; Metazoa; Chordata; Mammalia; Rodentia; Bathyergidae
Rfam family: tRNA
About the family: Transfer RNA (tRNA) molecules are approximately 80 nucleotides in length. Their secondary structure includes four short double-helical elements and three loops (D, anti-codon, and T loops). Further hydrogen bonds mediate the characteristic L-shaped molecular structure. tRNAs have two regions of fundamental functional importance: the anti-codon, which is responsible for specific mRNA codon recognition, and the 3' end, to which the tRNAs corresponding amino acid is attached (by aminoacyl-tRNA synthetases). tRNAs cope with the degeneracy of the genetic code in two manners: having more than one tRNA (with a specific anti-codon) for a particular amino acid; and 'wobble' base-pairing, i.e. permitting non-standard base-pairing at the 3rd anti-codon position.
Source: Rfam by way of RNAcentral